RNAcentral lists this long non-coding RNA (524 nucleotides) under Carica papaya (papaya). Its description in RNAcentral is "long non-coding RNA (CPAP_LNC009399)". Lineage: Eukaryota; Viridiplantae; Streptophyta; Magnoliopsida; Brassicales; Caricaceae. The record is from RNAcentral.
AAGAGAGUAAAAAAUCGUGUGAGAGAGUGAGAAAUAGAGCCUGAGAGAAAACUAGAAAAUUGUGAGCUUUUGGAGAAAAAAACCGGAGAGGAAGUUGAGUGUAGUGUGUGCGAGUGUGCUGUUCAAGGGAGAAGACGACUCCUCUUAUAGAUAAGCUUUUUCCCUUUUGUUUUAAGUAGGUCGACUUUUCCUUUUGAUUAUUCACACAUUCCCUUCCUCCCAAUGCAACAAUCCUUCUUUUAGCUUUAAUUGAAGAUUCUUCUAUAACCAAAACCUUGUCGAGCCGAAUUGUUUCAAGUAAGCAUAUUAUCUCUUCGAUUCUUGUUUUUUUUUUUUCCAUUCUUUUCUUGAUUUCCAGUUUUAGGAUAGUUUGUUUAGGUUCUUGGUUGAUUUUAAAUCGAAUUCUUGCAGUUAAAACAAUCCAGAAUCUGCAAUUUCCACUUAAAAACCCAAUUGACACAGCAAUUAUUGCUAGCAGUUCUUUGUACUUUUUAAGUCGAUCUACUCAUGCGUUUGGACCAUUU